Molecule: ribosomal RNA, 275 nt
Filed under: uncultured Streptococcaceae bacterium
Lineage: Bacteria; Bacillati; Bacillota; Bacilli; Lactobacillales; Streptococcaceae
Description: partial 16S ribosomal RNA
Rfam family: Bacterial small subunit ribosomal RNA
Source: RNAcentral
GUGCCAGCAGCCGCGGUAAUACGUAGGUCCCGAGCGUUGUCCGGAUUUAUUGGGCGUAAAGCGAGCGCAGGCGGUUAGAUAAGUCUGAAGUUAAAGGCUGUGGCUUAACCAUAGUACGCUUUGGAAACUGUUAACUUGAGUGCAAGAGGGGAGAGUGGAAUUCCAUGUGUAGCGGUGAAAUGCGUAGAUAUAUGGAGGAACACCGGUGGCGAAAGCGGCUCUCUGGCUUGUAACUGACGCUGAGGCUCGAAAGCGUGGGGAGCAAACAGGAUUAG